Molecule: ribosomal RNA, 494 nt
Filed under: uncultured bacterium
Lineage: Bacteria
Description: partial 16S ribosomal RNA
Rfam family: Bacterial small subunit ribosomal RNA
Source: RNAcentral
GACGAACGCUGGCGGCGUGCUUAACACAUGCAAGUCGAACGGUGAAGCGCCUUCCUUUUUGGUGGGUGUGGAUGAGUGGCGAACAGGUGAGUAACACGUGAGUAACCUGCCCCCUUCUUCUGGAUAACCGCAUGAAAGUGUGGCUAAUACGGGAUAUUCUGGGUCUGUCGCAUGAUGGGUCUGGGAAAGAUAUUGUUUCGGUGGGGGAUGGGCUCGCGGCCUAUCAGCUUGUUGGUGGGGUGAUGGCCUACCAAGGCGGUGACGGGUAGCCGGCCUGAGAGGGUGGACGGUCACACUGGGACUGAGACACGGCCCAGACUCCUACGGGAGGCAGCAGUGGGGAAUAUUGCACAAUGGGCGCAAGCCUGAUGCAGCGACGCCGCGUGAGGGAUGGAGGCCUUCGGGUUGUGAACCUCUUUCGCCAGUGAAGCAGGCCUGCCUCGUUUGUGGGUGGGUUGACGGUAGCUGGAUAAGAAGCGCCGGCUAACUACGUG